This 301-nucleotide ribosomal RNA is filed under the name uncultured bacterium. Its description in RNAcentral is "partial 16S ribosomal RNA". It matches the Rfam family "Bacterial small subunit ribosomal RNA", at positions 509 to 808 of the family's 1533-position model. The record is from RNAcentral.
CAGUAGCCGCGGUAAUACGUAGGUCCCGAGCGUUGUCCGGAUUUAUUGGGCGUAAAGCGAGCGCAGGCGGUUAGAUAAGUCUGAAGUUAUAGGCUGUGGCUUAACCAUAGUACGCUUUGGAAACUGUUUAACUUGAGUGCAAGAGGGGAGAGUGGAAUUCCAUGUGUAGCGGUGAAAUGCGUAGAUAUAUGGAGGAACACCGGUGGCGAAAGCGGCUCUCUGGCUUGUAACUGACGCUGAGGCUCGAAAGCGUGGGGAGCAAACAGGAUUAGAUACCCGGGUAGUCCCUGUCUCUUAUACA